RNAcentral lists this long non-coding RNA (303 nucleotides) under Androctonus crassicauda. The record is from RNAcentral. Lineage: Eukaryota; Metazoa; Arthropoda; Arachnida; Scorpiones; Buthidae.
UCCUAUGUGGGAGGCGUUCGUAUUACUUGCUGCGUACUCUGCGGGUAUUUCGUAUACGCCUGGUUUUUCUGGUUGGCUGCGGGGGUCCUUAUCAUUUCUGAGGAUGUUGAGCACUGUUAGUGCUCUUUUUGUGGCCACUCACUUCUUGGCUUUGUGUGCUAUAUUUUUAACUGACUUUGGUUUGGUGGUAUCAUACGGGACUGGCGGGAGGUCAUCAUUGCGAUCGUUUCUUGCUUCAGUUGUGUUCUGCUUGUGUACGACUUUUUCAUCUUAUGGUGGGUUCUAUUUAUAAAUUGGUUCGUG